GGGGGGAGGGGGACCCGUUUUAAUCGGAAUUACUGGGCGUAAAGCGCACGCAGGCGGUCUGUCAAGUCGNGAUGUGAAAUCCCCGGGCUCAACCUGGGAACNUGCAUUCGAAACUNGGCAGGCUAGAGUCUUNGUAGAGGGGGGUAGAAUUCCAGGNUGUAGCGGUGAAAUGCGUAGAGAUCUGGAGGAAUACCGGUGGCGAAGGCGGCCCCCUGGACAAAGACUGACGCUCAGGUGCGAAANGCGUGGGGAGCAAACANGGAUUAGAUACCCUGGUAGUCCACGCCGUAAACGAUGUCGAUUUGGAGGUUGUGCCCUUGAGGCCAGGCUUCCGGAGCUAACGCGUUAAAUCAACCGCCUGGGGAAUACGGCCGCAUGGUUAAAACUCAAAUGAAUUGACGGGGGGCCGCGCUGGCGGGGAUAAUGGGGUUUAAUUCGAUNCCUGCGCGGGAGAACCUUACCUGGUCUUGACUCUAAAGAAGGGUCC
Molecule: ribosomal RNA, 487 nt
Filed under: Klebsiella pneumoniae
Lineage: Bacteria; Pseudomonadati; Pseudomonadota; Gammaproteobacteria; Enterobacterales; Enterobacteriaceae
Description: bacterial SSU rRNA
Rfam family: Bacterial small subunit ribosomal RNA
Source: RNAcentral